Lycium barbarum (goji berry) is the source of this 1730-nucleotide long non-coding RNA. RefSeq lists it as uncharacterized. NCBI's taxonomy places the organism in Eukaryota, Viridiplantae, Streptophyta, Magnoliopsida, Solanales, Solanaceae. The record is from RefSeq and is a predicted model, not a curated record. The transcript has 3 exons.
UUCUUUUUCUUACGGGCACAAAAAACCGCCGCUGCAUUUAACCAUCUUAACUAGGGCUCCUCUCUUCCUCCCUUUUCCUUCUCACGCUUAUCGCCUCUGCAAAGUGAUACGGCAAGGGAUCUUCUUCAACAGAAUACAUCCAACAGUUGUCACCACCAUUCCCAGGCAUGUUAGACAUAUACGAAAUAAGACUCAAUAGGACUUCACACCUUUCUCUCCUUGGACAAAGGAGUUUACUUAAGAACUUGACUUGAGCAACAUCCCUUCCGUUACCAAGAGAAACCAUGUUCCCCUACAUACCCCUUUUGAUUUUCAUUCUUCUUUUUAAUGUAAAGCUACGUACCCCACUCCAGGUAAGUUCUUAAAUUUACCCUUCACUUUUCCCUCUUUUUUUUUGUUGAUUUACAAACUACCUUGUAAUAUUUUUCAAUCAAUGUCUGCUGGAAAAAAUUCAAAUGUCUUCCCUAUGACCCUUUAUAAAUUCUUUUCAUUUGUUGGCAUGUGUAGCAAAUGAUCUAGAGUUUGCAGUAACCAACACUUGGCGCUUUUAAAAACUCAUGUAGUCUAUUUCAUAAUAAUUCUGUAGCUUCCUAUACUUGUAGAUUUCCCCAUUUGGUGUCCAACAUGGUUUUGGCAGCCUAAAUGUUACACAAAAUUGCAAUGGUGGUGAAGUCUAAGAAAUGUACUACCAUUUUCUGGAGUCCUAUCGGAAUAUGAACUUGAUUAUUUUAUUGGAGUUGAUAAAAUUAGGAGUGUUCGUAAAGAUAUUUGGUCGAUAUACCACGGUUAAAUUGUUGACGUUACUAUUACUGACUUAUAAAGCUUUUUGUUGCAGGUGUUGCAGCAAAUCAGUACUAAUUCAACCGUGGAAUAUGGAAAUAGAAAAUUCAGAAGGGGUCUUGAUAUUCUUGUGUGUAUACGUGUCGAGUAGAUGCUUGUGUUGUUAGCAUAACACUCAUAGUUGUUCUUAUUACAUUUUUAAUUUAUUUUUCUUUUCAGGUAAAAGAUUGAUUGUUGUAAUUACUUUAAGGUUGUGGGUGACUUAAGAAACAUGACCUAUUUAACCAACCCCCAUAGCUAAGGGACCAUUUUGUCAACUUAUGGCAAACUUAAAGGACCAAAACCGUUAAGUGUAUAGUUAAGAGACUAUUUUGAACCUACUCUCAUAGUUAAGGGACCAUUUUUGUUAACUUGUAACAAACUUAAAGGACUAAAACCGUUAAGUGCAUAGUUAAGGGACUAUUUUGAACCUACUAUUAUAAUUAAGGGAUCAUUUUUGUCCUUUUUUCUCCAGAAUCAAUCAUGCAGAGGUUCCAAAGCAAGAAGAAUCUGUGUCGACCUAAGACUUCAAAGCUCGGCCCCCUUAAGAAAACGGUACGUUAGGAAAAACUGGGGAAGAUUUUAUAAAAGGAGUUCUGGGAACUGAACAACUACUUGGAGUUUUCCGAAACACAAAGAGGGAAACAACUGUGCCAAUGGAGUCUGGACAUUUUUGGGAGAAAACGCAGCACAUUUCUUGAUGUCAAUGAAGACUUUUUUGCUUGAAUCAAAAGACAGACUCAGGCGAUGUAGCAAUGCCAGUACAUAAUAGUUGUCUGAAAAUUAUCAAGUGUAUUCGAAUAUAUAGCAACUUUAUAACUUACAUCUUAGAAUCAAUUUCUUCACAUAUAAACUUCCAGACACAAACAAUGUUAAUAACCAUGUCAUCAUGUGAAUAAAAAUGAGGAAGU